AGGGUUUGAUCCUGGCUCAGAACGAACGCUGGCGGCAGGCCUAACACAUGCAAGUCGAACGGAUGUAGCAAUACAUUAGUGGCGCACGGGUGCGUAACGCGUGGGAACAUGCCCUUGGGUAAGGAAUAAUGUCUGGAAACGGACACUAAUACCUUAUAAUGACUUCGGUCCAAAGAUUUAUCGCCCAAGGAUUGGCCCGCGUCUGAUUAGCUAGUUGGUGAGGUAACGGCUCACCAAGGCGAUGAUCAGUAGCUGGUCUGAGAGGAUGAUCAGCCACACUGGGACUGAGACACGGCCCAGACUCCUACGGGAGGCAGCAGUGAGGAAUAUUGGACAAUGGAGGAAACUCUGAUCCAGCCAUGCCGCGUGAGUGAAGAAGGCCUUAGGGUUGUAAAGCUCUUUCAAUUGUGAAGAUAAUGACGGUAGCAAUAGAAGAAGCCCCGGCUAAAUUCGUGCCAGCAGCCGCGGUAAUACGAAUGGGGCAAGCGUUGUUCGGAAUCACUGGGCUUAAAGCGUGCGUAGGCGGUUAUGAAAGUCAGAAGUGAAAUCCCCGGGCUUAACCCGGGAAUUGCUUUUGAAACUCCAUAACUAGAAUCCGGUAGAGGUCAGGAGAAUUCCUAGUGUAGAGGUGAAAUUCGCAGAUAUUAGGAGGAAUACCAGUGGCGUAGGCGCCUGACUGGGCCGGUAUUGACGCUGAGGUACGAAAGCGUGGGUAGCAAACAGGAUUAGAUACCCUGGUAGUCCACGCCCUAAACGAUGUGUGCUAGCUGUCGGGCCCUUAGGGUCCGGUAGCGGAGCGAAAGUAUUAAGCACACCGCCUGGGGAGUACGGCCGCAAGG
This 839-nucleotide ribosomal RNA is filed under the name uncultured Alphaproteobacteria bacterium. RNAcentral's name for it is "bacterial SSU rRNA". It matches the Rfam family "Bacterial small subunit ribosomal RNA", at positions 8 to 893 of the family's 1533-position model. Lineage: Bacteria; Pseudomonadati; Pseudomonadota; Alphaproteobacteria. The record is from RNAcentral.